Molecule: ribosomal RNA, 397 nt
Filed under: uncultured bacterium
Lineage: Bacteria
Description: partial 16S ribosomal RNA
Rfam family: Bacterial small subunit ribosomal RNA
Source: RNAcentral
AUACGUAGGGGGCGAGCGUUGUCCGGAAUGAUUGGGCGUAAAGGGCGCGUAGGCGGCCCGGUAAGUCUGGAGUGAAAGUCCUGCUUUUAAGGUGGGAAUUGCUUUGGAUACUGUCGGGCUUGAGUGCAGGAGAGGGAAGUGGAAUUCCCAGUGUAGCGGUGAAAUGCGUAGAGAUUGGGAGGAACACCAGUGGCGAAGGCGACUUACUGGACUGUAACUGACGCUGAGGCGCGAAAGUGUGGGGAGCAAACAGGAUUAGAUACCCUGGUAGUCCACACUGUAAACGAUGAAUGCUAGGUGUAGGGGGUAUCGACCCCUUCUGUGCCGCAGUUAACACAAUAAGCAUUCCGCCUGGGGAGUACGGCCGCAAGGUUGAAACUCAAAGGAAUUGGCGGGG